This 1343-nucleotide ribosomal RNA is filed under the name uncultured bacterium. RNAcentral's name for it is "16S ribosomal RNA". It matches the Rfam family "Bacterial small subunit ribosomal RNA", at positions 28 to 1378 of the family's 1533-position model. The record is from RNAcentral.
GACGAACGCUGUCGGCGUGCUUAACACAUGCAAGUCGAACGGAAAGGCCCUGCUUUUGUGGGGUGCUCGAGUGGCGAACGGGUGAGUAACACGUGAGUAACCUGCCCUUGACUUUGGGAUAACUUCAGGAAACUGGGGCUAAUACCGGAUAGGAGCUCCUGCUGCAUGGUGGGGGUUGGAAAGUUUCGGCGGUUGGGGAUGGACUCGCGGCUUAUCAGCUUGUUGGUGGGGUAGUGGCUUACCAAGGCUUUGACGGGUAGCCGGCCUGAGAGGGUGACCGGCCACAUUGGGACUGAGAUACGGCCCAGACUCCUACGGGAGGCAGCAGUGGGGAAUAUUGCACAAUGGGCGGAAGCCUGAUGCAGCAACGCCGCGUGCGGGAUGACGGCCUUCGGGUUGUAAACCGCUUUCGCCUGUGACGAAGCGUGAGUGACGGUAAUGGGUAAAGAAGCACCGGCUAACUACGUGCCAGCAGCCGCGGUGAUACGUAGGGUGCGAGCGUUGUCCGGAUUUAUUGGGCGUAAAGGGCUCGUAGGUGGUUGAUCGCGUCGGAAGUGUAAUCUUGGGGCUUAACCCUGAGCGUGCUUUCGAUACGGGUUGACUUGAGGAAGGUAGGGGAGAAUGGAAUUCCUGGUGGAGCGGUGGAAUGCGCAGAUAUCAGGAGGAACACCAGUGGCGAAGGCGGUUCUCUGGGCCUUUCCUGACGCUGAGGAGCGAAAGCGUGGGGAGCGAACAGGCUUAGAUACCCUGGUAGUCCACGCUGUAAACGGUGGGUACUAGGUGUGGGGUCCAUUCCACGGGUUCCGUGCCGUAGCUAACGCUUUAAGUACCCCGCCUGGGGAGUACGGCCGCAAGGCUAAAACUCAAAGGAAUUGACGGGGCCCCGCACAAGCGGCGGAGCAUGCGGAUUAAUUCGAUGCAACGCGUAGAACCUUACCUGGGUUUGACAUGGAUCGGGAGUGCUCAGAGAUGGGUGUGCCUCUUUUGGGGUCGGUUCACAGGUGGUGCAUGGCUGUCGUCAGCUCGUGUCGUGAGAUGUUGGGUUAAGUCCCGCAACGAGCGCAACCCUUGUUCACUGUUGCCAGCACGUUAUGGUGGGGACUCAGUGGAGACCGCCGGGGUCAACUCGGAGGAAGGUGGGGAUGACGUCAAGUCAUCAUGCCCCUUAUGUCCAGGGCUUCACGCAUGCUACAAUGGCUGGUACAGAGAGUGGCGAGCCUGUGAGGGUGAGCGAAUCUCGGGAAGCCGGUCUCAGUUCGGAUUGGGGUCUGCAACUCGACCUCAUGAAGUCGGAGUCGCUAGUAAUCGCAGAUCAGCAACGCUGCGGUGAAUACGUUCCCGGG